Molecule: unclassified non-coding RNA, 290 nt
Filed under: fungal sp.
Lineage: Eukaryota; Fungi
Description: partial internal transcribed spacer region
Rfam family: Eukaryotic small subunit ribosomal RNA (bases 1-46)
Source: RNAcentral
AAGUCGUAACAAGGUUUCCGUAGGUGAACCUGCGGAAGGAUCAUUAUGGGUUUUGGUAUGAGUGAUUGUGAAUCGUGUGAGAGCGUAAUUGAUUGGAUCGCUGGGGUGAUUGAUUGAUUACUGGGGCACACAAGUAACAAGAGCAAUUAUGGAGGAAAAAGAGUGCAAGUGCAGGGGUGGAGUGAAGCAGGGGUGCAUUUAUGCACACAAUGCAUACACGACACAACAACACACAACGCACAAACAUAACAACAAACAUACAACUUUUAACAAUGGAUCUCUAGGCUCUU